CGGGAGUGCGGUCUUGCAUAUAAUGUAACUCAAGCGCACAGACCGGAGCUUGCUCCCUGAUGCCAGCGGCGCACGGCUGAGUAACACGUGUGUAACCUGUCUGUAAGACUGGGAUAACUCCGGGAAACCGGCGCUAAUACCGGAUGCUCGAUUGAACCGCAUGGUUCAAUUAUAAAAGGUGGCUUCGGCCUACAUUUAAAUAUGGGACCCCGGGGCAAUAACUAAUUGGUGGAGUAAAGGCUCCCCAAGCGCAAGAUUGCUUUCCACCUGAAAGGGGGAUCGGGCCCCCUGGGAAUCAAACCCCGGCCAGAAUCCUAACGGAGGCCCCCCUCGGGAAUCCUUCGGAAUGGACCAAAGUCUGACCGAACAACGCCCCCUUGGUUAAUAAGGUUUUCGGAAACGAAAACCCUGUUGGUAGGGAAAAACAAAUACCGUUUCAAUAGGGCGGGAACUUGCCGGUACCCAACCCGAAAGCCCCACGGCUAACUAAGUGCCAGCAACCGCGGUAAUACGUAGGGGGCAAGCGUUGUCCGGAAUUAUUGGGCCUAAAAGCGCCCGCAAGGCGGUUUCCUUAAGUCCGAAGGGAAAGCCCCCGGCCCAACCCCCGGGAAGGGUCAUUUGGAAAAGGGGGAACUUGACUUGCCAAAAAAAGAGAGUGGAAUUUUCCACGUGUCACCGGGGAAAUGCGGUAAACGAUGUGGAAGGAAAACACCAGUGGCGUAAGGCGACCUCUCCGGGCCUGGGAUUUUAACUUGACGCUGAGUGCCCGAAACCCGGGGGGAGCCAACACGAUUAGAUAUCCCGGGGGAACAAGUCCACGCCAUAAACCCAGGAGUGCUAAGUGUAAAAGGGGUUUCCGCCCUUUCAGGGCUGCAGGGGGCAAAAACAUUAAGCUACUCCCCCCUCCCCGGGGAGAAAGGUGCCCCAUUAGACAAAAACCCAAAGCAAUUGUACCCGCCCCCCCUUACAAGCGGUGAGAAAGCAGGGUGGUUUAAUGUCGAGACUCAUACACAAAAAACCUUACCAGGGGCUCGUUCACAUCUCUCAUGACAUACACAAGAGGGAGUAGGGCUCUCCCCUUCGGUGUGGCAGAGUGACAGGUGGUGCAUGGUUGUCGUCAGCUCGUGUCGUGAGAUGUUGGGUUAAGUCCCGCAACGAGCGCAACCCUUGAUCUUAGUUGCCAGCAUUCAGUUGGGCACUCUAAGGUGACUGCCGGUGACAAACCGGAGGAAGGUGGGGAUGACGUCAAAUCAUCAUGCCCCUUAUGACCUGGGCUACACACGUGCUACAAUGGGCAGAACAAAGGGCAGCGAAGCCGCGAGGCUAAGCCAAUCCCACAAAUCUGUUCUCAGUUCGGAUCGCAGUCUGCAACUCGACUGCGUGAAGCGGGAAUCGCUAGUAAUCGCGGAUCAGCAUGCCGCGGUGAAUACGUUCCCGGGCCUUGUACACACCGCCCGUCACACCACGAGAGUUUGUAACACCCGAAGUCGGUGAGGUAACCUUUUGGAGCCAGCCGCCGAAGGUGGGACAGAUGAUUGGGGUGA
Molecule: ribosomal RNA, 1544 nt
Filed under: Bacillus sp. (in: firmicutes)
Lineage: Bacteria; Bacillati; Bacillota; Bacilli; Caryophanales; Bacillaceae
Description: bacterial SSU rRNA
Rfam family: Bacterial small subunit ribosomal RNA
Source: RNAcentral